AAGAAGACACAAUUCUCUGUGUGGGCACUUGCCAUGACUUUAUUUUGGAAUUGUUCUUUGUGCAUGUGGUAGGGAAAACAUUGAUGUUUAACAGAAUUUCACUUAUUUGCUUGAAGGUUAAAGACUACAUGAGACUUUGACAGAUGGCGGGAAACCCUCAUCCACUGGUACGAACCCGGUAGAGGAAUGUCUGCGACUAAGCCGAGGGCCACUGGAUAAGGGUUGUUGAUGGUAAAACAGGUAGAGGAAUGUCUGCGACAAAGCCGAGGGCCACUGGAUAAGGGUUGUUGAUGGUAAAACAGGUAGAGGAAUGUCUGCGACAAAGCCGAGGGCCACUGGAUAAGGGUUGUUGAUGGUAAAACAGGUA
This is a long non-coding RNA of Dreissena polymorpha, 367 nucleotides long. RefSeq lists it as uncharacterized. The transcript is spliced from 4 exons. NCBI's taxonomy places the organism in Eukaryota, Metazoa, Mollusca, Bivalvia, Myida, Dreissenidae. The record is from RefSeq and is a predicted model, not a curated record.